Molecule: ribosomal RNA, 199 nt
Filed under: Paenibacillus arenosi
Lineage: Bacteria; Bacillati; Bacillota; Bacilli; Caryophanales; Paenibacillaceae
Description: Paenibacillus sp. CAU 1523 partial 16S ribosomal RNA
Rfam family: Bacterial small subunit ribosomal RNA
Source: RNAcentral
UUUAUGGAGAGUUUGAUCCUGGCUCAGGACGAACGCUGGCGGCGUGCCUAAUACAUGCAAGUCGAGCGGACUCUUACACUUUCUUCGGAAAGUGUCUGGGUUAGCGGCGGACGGGUGAGUAACACGUAGGCAACCUGCCUGUAAGACUGGGAUAACUACCGGAAACGGUAGCUAAUACCGGAUAGGCUUUUUCCUCACC